This 73-nucleotide transfer RNA is filed under the name Candidatus Berkelbacteria bacterium. RNAcentral's name for it is "tRNA-Arg". It matches the Rfam family "tRNA". From Rfam's summary of the family: Transfer RNA (tRNA) molecules are approximately 80 nucleotides in length. Their secondary structure includes four short double-helical elements and three loops (D, anti-codon, and T loops). The record is from RNAcentral. Lineage: Bacteria; Candidatus Berkelbacteria.
GUCCCCAUAGCUCAAUGGAUAGAGCGCGAGCUUGCGGAGCUCGAGGUUAGAGGUUCGACUCCUCUUGGGGACG